UGCGAAGUAGCUCAGCGGAUAGAGCACCAUAUGAAAAACAAGCCUUGACAAAGGCUUUAACAGCAACACUCAGGGACGUGGCGGUCAUGGGUUCAAAUCCCAUCUUCGCAA
This 111-nucleotide transfer RNA is filed under the name Butyrivibrio sp. Its description in RNAcentral is "tRNA-OTHER". It matches the Rfam family "tRNA". From Rfam's summary of the family: Transfer RNA (tRNA) molecules are approximately 80 nucleotides in length. Their secondary structure includes four short double-helical elements and three loops (D, anti-codon, and T loops). Lineage: Bacteria; Bacillati; Bacillota; Clostridia; Lachnospirales; Lachnospiraceae. The record is from RNAcentral.